GACGAACGCUGGCGGCGUGCCUAACACAUGCAAGUCGAGCGAGUGAAUCUCCUUCGGGAGUGAAGCUAGCGGCGGACGGGUGAGUAACACGUGGGCAACCUGCCUCAUAGAGGGGAAUAGCCUUCCGAAAGGAAGAUUAAUACCGCAUAAGAUUGUAGCUUCGCAUGAAGUAGCAAUUAAAGGAGCAAUCCGCUAUGAGAUGGGCCCGCGGCGCAUUAGCUAGUUGGUGAGGUAACGGCUCACCAAGGCGACGAUGCGUAGCCGACCUGAGAGGGUGAUCGGCCACAUUGGGACUGAGACACGGCCCAGACUCCUACGGGAGGCAGCAGUGGGGAAUAUUGCACAAUGGGGGAAACCCUGAUGCAGCAACGCCGCGUGAGUGAUGACGGCCUUCGGGUUGUAAAGCUCUGUCUUCAGGGACGAUAAUGACGGUACCUGAGG
Molecule: ribosomal RNA, 441 nt
Filed under: uncultured bacterium
Lineage: Bacteria
Description: bacterial SSU rRNA
Rfam family: Bacterial small subunit ribosomal RNA
Source: RNAcentral